GACGAACGCUGGCGGCGUGCCUAAUACAUGCAAGUCGAGCGGACGGAUGGGAGCUUGCUCCCAGACCGUCAGCGGCGGACGGGUGAGUAACACGUGGGCAACCUGCCUGUAAGACUGGGAUAACUCCGGGAAACCGGGGCUAAUACCGGAUAACUCUUUCCCUCACAUGAGGGAAAGCUGAAAGAUGGCAUCUCGCUAUCACUUACAGAUGGGCCCGCGGCGCAUUAGCUAGUUGGUGAGGUAACGGCUCACCAAGGCGACGAUGCGUAGCCGACCUGAGAGGGUGAUCGGCCACACUGGGACUGAGACACGGCCCAGACUCCUACGGGAGGCAGCAGUAGGGAAUCUUCCGCAAUGGACGAAAGUCUGACGGAGCAACGCCGCGUGAGUGAUGAAGGUUUUCGGAUCGUAAAACUCUGUUGUCAGGGAAAAACAAGUACCGGAGUAACUGCCGGUACCUUGACGGUACCUGACCAGAAAGCCACGGCUAACUACGUG
This 498-nucleotide ribosomal RNA is filed under the name uncultured bacterium. Its description in RNAcentral is "partial 16S ribosomal RNA". It matches the Rfam family "Bacterial small subunit ribosomal RNA", at positions 28 to 507 of the family's 1533-position model. The record is from RNAcentral.